Long non-coding RNA from Zea mays, 699 nucleotides. RefSeq lists it as uncharacterized. Lineage: Eukaryota; Viridiplantae; Streptophyta; Magnoliopsida; Poales; Poaceae. The record is from RefSeq and is a predicted model, not a curated record. The transcript is spliced from 2 exons.
CCUCUCUCACUUCCUCCUCCCACUGCAACCCCAUCUGUACAUCACGUCCGGUGCUGUCUUUGCCUUCAGUUGCUGCAGAUGGUGGCCAUGGGAACUUGAGCAGUCCAGGUAUAUAAGGUAUCCAUCGAUUCCACCCUCACAGCUGAGCGACACAUACCCACAACCACCCAAAUCUAUGUGCAUCCUCCUGCCACCCACGUCGGCGUGGCCCACACUGCAUCCGGCCCACCCGCCACGUGUCCCGCUCCGCAUUCGGCCUGCCCAGUGCCCGCUGCGUCACGCGCCCGGCACUGGCCAUCAGCUUCACACCGUUGCAGGCCACACAUGUUGUGUUCGGAGACGCGGACGCGCCGUCGUGUGGUUGUAUUUGCCACGCCGGAGGCGGAGAAGAAGCCGCCCAGCGCCCACCACCAGGAGAAGUUUUAUUCCCUUAUCCUUUGGGUAGUUACUUCAUGUGGAGGACUUGAAGCUUAGAAUGUUUUUAUAUAUCUCUUAUGGAAAGGCUUCACCCUUCCAAUUAUUGUAAUAAGUUAUGCACUUCGAGUACUAUCAAGACUUGUAAUAAAUACAUCUCUUUCUACAAUGUAAAACUUGAGUUCUGGAAUGUAAAGUGUACUUUGUAAAAGUCUUCCGGUCUAUCUCCAAUGUGUGUGUAUCAAAUGUGAUUACUGUAAUAUACCUGUUAUGUGGGAGAUCCUU